RNAcentral lists this ribosomal RNA (460 nucleotides) under uncultured bacterium. RNAcentral describes it as "partial 16S ribosomal RNA". It matches the Rfam family "Bacterial small subunit ribosomal RNA", at positions 338 to 795 of the family's 1533-position model. The record is from RNAcentral.
CCUACGGGUGGCAGCAGUGAGGAAUAUUGGUCAAUGGACGAGAGUCUGAACCAGCCAAGUAGCGUGAAGGAUGACUGCCCUAUGGGUUGUAAACUUCUUUUAUAUGGGAAUAAAAUGUUCCACGUGUGGGAUUUUGUAUGUACCAUAUGAAUAAGGAUCGGCUAACUCCGUGCCAGCAGCCGCGGUAAUACGGAGGAUCCGAGCGUUGUCCGGAUUUAUUGGGUUUAAAGGGAGCGUAGGUGGAUUGUUAAGUCAGUUGUGAAAGUUUGCGGCUCAACCGUAAAAUUGCAGUUGAAACUGGCAGUCUUGAGUACAGUAGAGGUGGGUGGAAUUCGUGGUGUAGCGGUGAAAUGCUUAGAUAUCACGAAGAACUCCGAUUGCGAAGGCAGUUCACUGGACUGCAACUGACACUGAGGCGCGAAAGUGUGGGUAUCAAACAGGAUUAGAUACCCGGGUAGUC